Molecule: ribosomal RNA, 253 nt
Filed under: uncultured bacterium
Lineage: Bacteria
Description: partial 16S ribosomal RNA
Rfam family: Bacterial small subunit ribosomal RNA
Source: RNAcentral
GACGUAGGGCGCGAGCGUUGUCCGGAUUUAUUGGGCGUAAAGAGCUCGUAGGCGGCUUGUCGCGUCGUCCGUGAAAACCUGGGGCUCAACUCCAGGCUUGCGGUCGAUACGGGCAGGCUCGAGUUCGGUAGGGGAGACUGGAAUUCCAGGUGUAGCGGUGAAAUGCGUAGAUAUCUGGAGGAAUACCGGUGGCGAAGGCGGCAUCCUGGACCAUUACUGACGCUGAGGCGCGAAAGCUAGGGGAGCAAACGGG